Molecule: ribosomal RNA, 412 nt
Filed under: uncultured bacterium
Lineage: Bacteria
Description: bacterial SSU rRNA
Rfam family: Bacterial small subunit ribosomal RNA
Source: RNAcentral
GAUGAACGCUGGCGGCAUGCCUUACACAUGCAAGUCGAACGGCAGCACGGGAGCAAUCCUGGUGGCGAGUGGCGAACGGGUGAGUAAUAUAUCGGAACGUGCCCGGUCGUGGGGGAUAACGUAGCGAAAGCUACGCUAAUACCGCAUACGAUCUACGGAUGAAAGCGGGGGAUCGCAAGACCUCGCGCGAUUGGAGCGGCCGAUAUCAGAUUAGGUAGUCGGUGAGGUAAAGGCUCACCAAGCCGACGAUCUGUAGCUGGUCUGAGAGGACGACCAGCCACACUGGAACUGAGACACGGUCCAGACUCCUACGGGAGGCAGCAGUGAGGAAUUUUGGACAAUGGGCGCAAGCCUGAUCCAGCAAUGCCGCGUGCAGGAUGAAGGCCUCGGUUGGUAACUAGCUUUGUUACGG